UAGGGAAUCUUCGGCAAUGGGGGGAACCCUGACCGAGCAACGCCGCGUGAGUGAAGAAGGUUUUCGGAUCGUAAAGCUCUGUUGUUAAGGAAGAACGAGUGUGAGAAUGGAAAGUUCAUGCUGUGACGGUACUUAACCAGAAAGGGACGGCUAACUACGUGCCAGCAGCCGCGGUAAUACGUAGGUCCCGAGCGUUGUCCGGAAUUAUUGGGCGUAAAGCGAGCGCAGGCGGUUAGAAAAGUCUGAAGUGAAAGGCAGUGGCUCAACCAUUGUAGGCUUUGGAAACUGUUUAACUUGAGUGCAGAAGGGGAGAGUGGAAGUCAAUGUGUAGCGGUGAAAUGCGUAGAUAUAUGGAGGAACACCGGUGGCGAAAGCGGCUCUCUGGUCUGUAACUGACGCUGAGGCUCGAAAGCGUGGGGAGCGAACAGG
This 429-nucleotide ribosomal RNA is filed under the name Bacteroidota bacterium. RNAcentral describes it as "Bacteroidetes bacterium partial 16S ribosomal RNA". It matches the Rfam family "Bacterial small subunit ribosomal RNA", at positions 355 to 776 of the family's 1533-position model. The record is from RNAcentral. Lineage: Bacteria; Pseudomonadati; Bacteroidota.